This 441-nucleotide ribosomal RNA is filed under the name uncultured Alphaproteobacteria bacterium. RNAcentral's name for it is "bacterial SSU rRNA". It matches the Rfam family "Bacterial small subunit ribosomal RNA", at positions 29 to 505 of the family's 1533-position model. Lineage: Bacteria; Pseudomonadati; Pseudomonadota; Alphaproteobacteria. The record is from RNAcentral.
AACGAACGCUGGCGGCAGGCCUAACACAUGCAAGUCGAGGGGGAAGCCAUCUUCGGAUGGUGGAGACCGGCGCACGGGUGAGUAACGCGUGGGAAUUUACCUUGGAGUGGGGAAUAACCGCUGGAAACGGCGGCUAAUACCGCAUACGCCCUUUUGGGGAAAGCUUUAGCGCUCUGGGAUGAGCCCGCGUUAGAUUAGGUUGUUGGUGGGGUAAAGGCCUACCAAGCCUUCGAUCUAUAGCUGGUCUGAGAGGAUGAUCAGCCACACUGGGACUGAGACACGGCCCAGACUCCUACGGGAGGCAGCAGUGGGGAAUAUUGGACAAUGGGGGCAACCCUGAUCCAGCCAUGCCGCGUGCGUGAAGAAGGCCUUAGGGUUGUAAAGCGCUUUCACUGGUGAAGAUGAUGACGGUAGCCAGAGAAGAAGCCCCGGCUAACUCCG